RNAcentral lists this long non-coding RNA (1131 nucleotides) under Nicotiana benthamiana. RNAcentral describes it as "long non-coding RNA (NBEN_LNC028590)". Lineage: Eukaryota; Viridiplantae; Streptophyta; Magnoliopsida; Solanales; Solanaceae. The record is from RNAcentral.
UCUUGUCCACUUAUUAAGUAGAUCUAAUUGUUGUGGGAAUUCGUAUUCUUCUUUCCUACUAUUUUUAACAGUAGUCUUUUUUUCUAAUCAUACUCAUUAGAUGAAUAGUGUUAAACUUAGUUUCUCAGGUUUUUACCAACAUGGCUCUGAUACUAAUACGGGGACAGGAUCGCUUCCGAAUGAGGUUCAGCAAGAAUUACAAGAAGGGGUUGUUCGAGACUGAUUACCAACCUUUAGGUAAAUCUUAAACCACGAUACUCCUCACAACUCUUCAACACUGCCACCUGUCUAAAUGAGUUUACGUGCACCACCGGUUAGGAUAUCCUAACCAAGAUUUACUGUCAAGGUUAGUAACUGCUUGAUCUAUAUAGUUCUUAACCUAACACUCCAUCGGGGUGAUAGAGUUCAUUUAGUGAAACAAAGCAUGCUGUGUAAAUAACCUUUGAAUACUAAGCUUAACACUUACCUGUUUAGCCUAUCAUUUAGGCUAACAUCGAAUUAAUUCAACAGAUUUAAACCAAGAUAGACAUAUAUGUAAAAUUAGACAAAGCAAAUACUACAAAGGAUAAAAUAAGCCCAUUUGAUGUAAUUACUAAAAGUCUUCAAAUGAAUAAAGGAUCCAUAUCCAAGAAAGAAAUCAUCGCUUCAUAUUUUUAGGAAAUAAAGAAAGAUUUGGCAAAAAAUCUCGGAACAGAAGUCAGUGAUGAUAUAUCAAUGGCCUUUAUAUGAAACACUUCAGAUGAAGACGCAUGUGCAUCAGGGGAAGCUCAAAGCACCUCCAGAACAUAAGUUAAUAUUGAAGAGAUAGAAGAUUUCCUUCAAAUUGAAGGAAAAUGCCGAAUAAUCUUCGGAGAAAAAAGACAAGAAGGGAAAAGGCAAAGCUUAAAUUAUUGAAGUCCCCAUAGGACAAUCAUAGGGGUAAUAAGUUAAAAGACUUUAAUAAAGAUACGGACCCAUCCAUUAUAAAUAAUCUACUUUUGUAAAGUAGAUUGUCCAUUUGCAAUAAUUUUCUUUGUAGGACACUAUUGUAAAUUAUUUUGUCGGCCAAUUUUAUUUGUUUCGUAGUAAAUCGAUCCAUUAUAAAAGGAUCCUCAUAGUUUAGGAGACGUGAGGCAUUACCCAAAGUCCGGA